Molecule: unclassified non-coding RNA, 278 nt
Filed under: Hevea brasiliensis (rubber tree)
Lineage: Eukaryota; Viridiplantae; Streptophyta; Magnoliopsida; Malpighiales; Euphorbiaceae
Source: RNAcentral
UGUCAUGCAAACCUCCUCUGUUGUGACUACAGGAGUCGUAUCUCACAGGUAUGGGGAGCAAGCAGGUGAGAUCACAAAAGAAGGUAUGAAUGCUGCAGGGCAUGCUUUCGGGACUGCAUGGGCUGUCUUCAAAAUACGCAAAGCACUGAAUCCCAAGAGUGCGGUGAAACCAACCUCUCUGGCCAAGUCUGCUGUGAAGGCAGCGGCGGCUGAUCUGAAGGCUGUGAAGGCAGCAGCGACUGAUCUGAAGGCUAAGAAGGGGAAGAAGUGAAUUUCUG